RNAcentral lists this ribosomal RNA (528 nucleotides) under uncultured Veillonella sp. RNAcentral's name for it is "bacterial SSU rRNA". It matches the Rfam family "Bacterial small subunit ribosomal RNA", at positions 28 to 525 of the family's 1533-position model. The record is from RNAcentral. Lineage: Bacteria; Bacillati; Bacillota; Negativicutes; Veillonellales; Veillonellaceae.
GACGAACGCUGGCGGCGUGCUUAACACAUGCAAGUCGAACGAAGAGCGAUGGAAGCUUGCUUCUAUCAAUCUUAGUGGCGAACGGGUGAGUAACGCGUAAUCAACCUGCCCUUCAGAGGGGGACAACAGUUGGAAACGACUGCUAAUACCGCAUACGAUCUAACCUCGGCAUCGAGGAUAGAUGAAAGGUGGCCUCUAUUUAUAAGCUAUCACUGAAGGAGGGGAUUGCGUCUGAUUAGCUAGUUGGAGGGGUAACGGCCCACCAAGGCGAUGAUCAGUAGCCGGUCUGAGAGGAUGAACGGCCACAUUGGGACUGAGACACGGCCCAGACUCCUACGGGAGGCAGCAGUGGGGAAUCUUCCGCAAUGGACGAAAGUCUGACGGAGCAACGCCGCGUGAGUGAUGACGGCCUUCGGGUUGUAAAGCUCUGUUAAUCGGGACGAAAGGCCUUCUUGCGAAUAGUUAGAAGGAUUGACGGUACCGGAAUAGAAAGCCACGGCUAACUACGUGCCAGCAGCCGCGGUAAUA